Molecule: long non-coding RNA, 500 nt
Filed under: Phascolarctos cinereus (koala)
Lineage: Eukaryota; Metazoa; Chordata; Mammalia; Diprotodontia; Phascolarctidae
Description: lncRNA (ENSPCIG00000018992.2)
Source: RNAcentral
CCUGUCUUUCCUAAGGUGCUCUCAAGUUGUCUUAGUAAGGCAACUGCUUUAUCCCUUUAUUUUUGCUGCUCUGCCUUUAUUUUGUGGUGAUGUUCUGUCUGUUUGUGGAGGAAAUUUGAAGAGCCUGGAAAUUUCUCUGCCAUCUUGCCAGAAUGCUUCAUAUAGGGGCUUCUUUCAGUAUAUUUUCUCAGGUCAUUUCCCUGGCUGCGUAAGAUCAAUGAGAUCCUGAUUGUGACUUGUGCAUUUGAAGCUGAAGUGGCCCUUUAUUACCUGUGGAGGCGGCAUAAAUGCAGAGGAUUUCUUUAUAGAGAACUAUCCGUUUGGCAAGACUGGAAAUUUAUAGGGACAGUUUUUACGCUGGUAAUUUUAAAGGGUGUUCUGGUUGUAAUGGAAAUCAUAUUUAUUAUGAAACCAUACAUAUCAAGAAUGUCACCACACCUUGCCAGGUCCCUGAGAUGAUAAUAAGGUAAUUUCAGGUAGGACGUACAUUUGACUUAAUU